CCUACGGGAGGCAGCAGUGAGGAAUAUUGGUCAAUGGACGAGAGUCUGAACCAGCCAAGUAGCGUGAAGGAUGACUGCCCUACGGGUUGUAAACUUCUUUUAUAUGGGAAUAAAAUGUUCCACGUGUGGCUUUUUGUAUGUACCUUAUGAAUAAGGAUCGGCUAACUCCGUGCCAGCAGCCGCGGUAAUACGGAGGAUCCGAGCGUUAUCCGGAUUUAUUGGGUUUAAAGGGAGCGUAGGUGGAUUGUUAAGUCAGUUGUGAAAGUUUGCGGCUCAACCGUAAAAUUGCAGUUGAAACUGGCAGUCUUGAGUACAGUAGAGGUGGGCGGAAUUCGUGGUGUAGCGGUGAAAUGCUUAGAUAUCACGAAGAACUCCGAUUGCGAAGGCAGCUCACUGGACUGCAACUGACACUGAGGCUCGAAAGUGUGGGUAUCAAACAGGAUUAGAUACCCGAGUAGUC
This 460-nucleotide ribosomal RNA is filed under the name uncultured bacterium. Its description in RNAcentral is "partial 16S ribosomal RNA". It matches the Rfam family "Bacterial small subunit ribosomal RNA", at positions 338 to 795 of the family's 1533-position model. The record is from RNAcentral.